CGGCUCCGUGGCUUAAUGGUUACGGUUUCUGCCUCAUAAGCAGAAGGUUCAGGGAUCAAACCCCGGUCGGUACCUCUGAAAUUUGGAAUCAUGAAUUUGAACUUUGAAUAUGAACAAAAACGAAAUAGAACAAGGUGUGAUUCGAACUCACACCUUUGGAUUUAUGGUCUGGGACGCUAAGCAGUCGGCCGUCAGAAGAUUUACACUCUAGCAGUGAAUUGAUCCGUACACGGAAAGAAAUCAUGUCUGCUUGCUUGAUAACAUGCGACAACAGAACCGUUUACAUCGAAUGUUUUCAAAUUUGAUAACAAAGUUUUCAAAAAUGCUUACAUUGUUAUCACUUUUGACUACAAUCUAUGCUACAAUGCAUUGCAAUGUUGCCUACCUAAAGGCGCAUCCAUUCUUGAGUACCUUUUAUGCGUUACGCAUCUGUCAAAUCUCAGUAAGCCGUGGAGAGAACAACAUAAACAAAACAAAUAAUCGAAUAAAAAAAACUCGUACCAGUUAGUUCCAAGUUCAGCACGUGAAGGAAUGGCGCUUACAGCUGCAGGACCCGAGCAGUGAACAGUGCUCGAUCCGGAUGUUUCGCACGAAACUGCUGGAAUGGAACCGUCUGCCAACUCGUCCAAUGCUGUGGCGUUGGCGAUUCCACGACCACAGUGAAAGAGGACGUUCUACAGGACGGCCACCAAAGGCGGCGGUCAAGUUUGAAACGUUCACGUCAGUCGGGCUGCGGGAUUUGUUCUGGACAAGUUUGAAACGUUCACGUCAGUCGGGCUGCGGGAUCUGUUCUGGACAUGCUCCUGCUCCAGUGCCAAUUAAAAACAUCAGCACCACGCUCAACACUUCCCAAAGCUCCAAAUCUUCUACCAGCGCAGCCGUUUCGGCCGGAAGUGGCCAGCAGACGUGGUUCUACAGCACAAACCGAACAAGCUCAUAGAUAAAAAUUGGAAUUGUUUUAGGUAAGAUUUUUUAGAUCAUAUUCAAAGCCGGGAGAGGCAAAGCACGUCACACCUUUACCAUUUAUUUC
Long non-coding RNA from Culex pipiens pallens (northern house mosquito), 1030 nucleotides. RefSeq lists it as uncharacterized. The transcript is spliced from 2 exons. NCBI's taxonomy places the organism in Eukaryota, Metazoa, Arthropoda, Insecta, Diptera, Culicidae. The record is from RefSeq and is a predicted model, not a curated record.